RNAcentral lists this ribosomal RNA (497 nucleotides) under uncultured bacterium. RNAcentral's name for it is "partial 16S ribosomal RNA". It matches the Rfam family "Bacterial small subunit ribosomal RNA", at positions 28 to 507 of the family's 1533-position model. The record is from RNAcentral.
GACGAACGCUGGCGGCGUGCCUAAUACAUGCAAGUUGAGCGCUGAAGGUUGGUACUUGUACCAACUGGAUGAGCAGCGAACGGGUGAGUAACGCGUGGGGAAUCUGCCUUUGAGCGGGGGACAACAUUUGGAAACGAAUGCUAAUACCGCAUAAAAACUUUAAACACAAGUUUUAAGUUUGAAAGAUGCAAUUGCAUCACUCAAAGAUGAUCCCGCGUUGUAUUAGCUAGUUGGUGAGGUAAAGGCGCACCAAGGCGAUGAUACAUAGCCGACCUGAGAGGGUGAUCGGCCACAUUGGGACGGAGACACGGCCCAAACGCCUACGGGAGGCAGCAGUAGGGAAUCUUCGGCAAUGGACGAAAGUCUGACCGAGCAACGCCGAGGGAGUGAAGAAGGUUUUCGGAUCGUAAAACUCGGUUGGUAGAGAAGAACGUUGGUGAGAGUGGAAAGCUCAUCAAGUGACGGUAACUACCCAGAAAGGGACGGCUAACUACGUG